This 253-nucleotide ribosomal RNA is filed under the name uncultured bacterium. Its description in RNAcentral is "partial 16S ribosomal RNA". It matches the Rfam family "Bacterial small subunit ribosomal RNA", at positions 524 to 776 of the family's 1533-position model. The record is from RNAcentral.
UACGGAGGGUGCAAGCGUUAAUCGGAAUUACUGGGCGUAAAGCGUGCGUAGGUGGUUCGUUAAGUCCGUUGUGAAAGCCCCGAGCUCAACUUGGGAAUUGCAGUGGAUACUGGCGAGCUGGAGUGCGGUAGAGGAAGGUGGAAUUCCCGGUGUAGCGGUGAAAUGCGUAGAGAUCGGGUGGAACACCAGGGGCGAAGGCGGCAUCCUGGCGGUCAACUGACGCUGAGGAGCGAAAGUGUGGGGAGCGAACAGG